GACGAACGCUGGCGGCGUGCUUAACACAUGCAAGUCGAACGGAAAGGCUCCAGCUUGCUGGAGUACUCGAGUGGCGAACGGGUGAGUAACACGUGGGUAAUCUGCCCUGCACUCUGGGAUAAGCCUGGGAAACUGGGUCUAGUACUGGAUAUGACCUUUCUCCUUAUGGGGUUUGGUGGAAAGUUUUUCGGUGUAGGAUGAGCCCGCGGCCUAUCAGCUUGUUGGUGGGGUGAUGGCCUACCAAGGCGACGACGGGUAGCCGGCCUGAGAGGGUGAUCGGCCACAUUGGGACUGAGAUACGGCCCAGACUCCUACGGGAGGCAGCAGUGGGGAAUAUUGCACAAUGGGCGGAAGCCUGAUGCAGCGACGCCGCGUGAGGGAUGACGGCCUUCGGGUUGUAAACCUCUUUCAGCAGGGACGAAGCGUAAGUGACGGUACCUGCAGAAGAAGCACCGGCUAACUAUGUG
RNAcentral lists this ribosomal RNA (467 nucleotides) under uncultured bacterium. RNAcentral describes it as "partial 16S ribosomal RNA". It matches the Rfam family "Bacterial small subunit ribosomal RNA", at positions 28 to 507 of the family's 1533-position model. The record is from RNAcentral.